This is a non-coding RNA of Rattus norvegicus (Norway rat), 63 nucleotides long. Lineage: Eukaryota; Metazoa; Chordata; Mammalia; Rodentia; Muridae. The record is from Rfam.
GGGGAUUUAGCUCAGUGGUAGAGCGCUUGCCUAGCAAGCACAAGGCCCUGGGUUCAGUCUCCA